AAUGAACGCUGGCGGCAGGCCUAACACAUGCCAGUCGAGCGGACGCACGGUGAGCGCUCUCCUCUGCCGUUGGCGACGGGCGGGUGAGUAACACGUACAUAACCUACCUAUAAGACUGGGGUAACUUCGGGGGACCUCAUACAAUACCGGAUCAUAGGGUGAACGGGAGGGAUCAGUGGAUCUAGAGGUCUUUGCUGACACUAAGAGAUGUAUCCACGUCGCAUUAGCUAGUUGGUAAGGUAACGGCCUACCAAGGCAACGAUGCGUAGCUGACCUGAGAGGGUGAUCGGCCACACUGGAACUGAGACACGGUCCAGACUCCUACGGGAGGCAGCAGUGGGGAAUAUUGGGCAAUGGGCGAAAGCCUGAUCGAGCCAUGCCGCGUGAGUGAAGAAGGUCUUCGGAUUGUAAAACUCUUUUAUUAGGGAAGAACAACAGUGUGUGAAUCUCUGCCUGUUUUGACGGUACCUAAAGAGAAAGCACCGGCUAACUUCGUG
Molecule: ribosomal RNA, 497 nt
Filed under: uncultured bacterium
Lineage: Bacteria
Description: partial 16S ribosomal RNA
Rfam family: Bacterial small subunit ribosomal RNA
Source: RNAcentral